Molecule: ribosomal RNA, 253 nt
Filed under: uncultured Eubacteriales bacterium
Lineage: Bacteria; Bacillati; Bacillota; Clostridia; Eubacteriales
Description: uncultured Clostridiales bacterium partial 16S ribosomal RNA
Rfam family: Bacterial small subunit ribosomal RNA
Source: RNAcentral
UACGGAGGAUGCGAGCGUUAUCCGGAUUUACUGGGUGUAAAGGGAGCGUAGACGGCAAGGCAAGUCUGGAGUGAAAGCCCGUGGCCCAACCACGGGACUGCUCUGGAAACUGUGUUGCUGGAGUGCAGGAGGGGUAAGCGGAAUUCCUACUGUAGCGGUGAAAUGCGUAGAUAUUAGGAGGAACACCGGUGGCGAAGGCGAUUUGCUGGGCCAUCACUGACGCUGAGGUACGAAAGCGUGGGGAGCAAAUAGG